Molecule: non-coding RNA, 242 nt
Filed under: Actinospica robiniae
Lineage: Bacteria; Bacillati; Actinomycetota; Actinomycetes; Catenulisporales; Actinospicaceae
Also listed under: 1 other name
Source: RNAcentral
AUGGUGUCUGACGCAGCUGGUUCGGCCGAUCCUCAGGGGCGGCCGAGGAAAGAGGGAACCCGGUGUGAGUCCGGGACUGCCCCGCAGCGGUGAGUGGGAACGACCGCCGUCGUACACACUGGGUGCCCGCGUCGCGCACGCGCAGCCUGGGAAGUGACGGCCAGUAGAUUCCGGGGUUUUCCGGCUUCGUCCGGAUCCGGGUGCCCGCGAGUCCGAAGACCUGCCAGCGGUGCCGCGUCCGU